AGAGACAGCAGUCGCCACGGUAAUACGUAGGUCCCGAGCGUUGUCCGGAUUUAUUGGGCGUAAAGCGAGCGCAGGCGGUUAGAUAAGUCUGAAGUUAAAGGCUGUGGCUUAACCAUAGUACGCUUUGGAAACUGUUUAACUUGAGUGCAAGAGGGGAGAGUGGAAUUCCAUGUGUAGCGGUGAAAUGCGUAGAUAUAUGGAGGAACACCGGUGGCGAAAGCGGCUCUCUGGUCUGUAACUGACGCUGAGGCUCGAAAGCGUGGGGAGCGAACAGGAUUAGAUACCCCAGUAGUCCCUGUCUCUUAUACA
This 309-nucleotide ribosomal RNA is filed under the name uncultured bacterium. RNAcentral describes it as "partial 16S ribosomal RNA". It matches the Rfam family "Bacterial small subunit ribosomal RNA", at positions 504 to 808 of the family's 1533-position model. The record is from RNAcentral.